RNAcentral lists this long non-coding RNA (1001 nucleotides) under Panax ginseng (ginseng). Its description in RNAcentral is "long non-coding RNA (PGIN_LNC000767)". The record is from RNAcentral. Lineage: Eukaryota; Viridiplantae; Streptophyta; Magnoliopsida; Apiales; Araliaceae.
UUUAUUCAGCAAACACAAAUACAAUAUAAAAUAAAAUAUAAAAAAUAUUAUAUACAUCAUUUAAAAUCAUUCACAUUACAACAUUAUAAUAUAAUAAAUUGAAUAAUUCAUCUCCUCAUUCACAUUACAACAUUAUAUACAUCUUGCUCAUGAUUCCAACUUCUAACUUGUCAAAUAUAUGAGGAGACCGACCCAAUCCCUCACACUGUCCACAAAUAAUGUCCUACUACCCAAAAUGAUGCACUUUAGCACACUUCCAGGUUGUAAUAACUUUCAAAAUUUCAGAUCUUGCCUAGUUUCUCUACACCAACAAUAAUUACUCUCUUCGAAAUAAUCUUCUGAAAUAACCACGUUUGUGCACUUUAGUCUUAAGAUCCUUAUCUGAAACAGAAAAGAAUAAAAUGUUAAUGACCAACUUGGAAACUAGAGACAAGUAAAAUAAUAAUGACUACGGAAUAUGUCUACUCUUGGAGAUCAUCCCUUCAGGACAGACUCAUUCCAAAAUAAAGAUGAAGAGUAAUGCAUGGAUUGAAGGUAUUUAUUUAGGGGGGAUUGGGGAAGUUGAAAAUUAAUGGCUUCAAUUAUCAGAGCAUAAUGUAAAUGAAUCUCAUAUGACAACGAAAAAGAAUCAAGACAAUAAGGGCAAUAAAGAAAUAAAAGAAUAAUAACGACGAGGAUAAUAAUAUCAAUAAUAAUAAUUAUUAUUAUAAUAAACCAAAACAAAUUACAAAAAGAAAUAAGGAACUGAGAAAUUACUAAUGCGCAGUAUAGAAUAAGGAACUGGAUCACAACUUUAUCCCACCUGAUAUAGUGAUGAACCAUCUCACUUGCUUGGGAUCAACCUCCUAUCCCAACGGAAUAGGAAAUUAUAGGUUGUAACACAGACUCAAUACCACUGUCCAAAAAGACUUGACAGUGCACGGUAAUAUGUUGUUGAAUGAGAUGACACACAGACUCAAUUCCAAGUUUAAAAAUCAACCUUAUUUAAAAGUUACAAACAU